GUGUCCUCGCUGCCAGCGGGGCCGCCUGCUGGACCAGCGGUAGGAGCAGCACCUGCGGGGGCGCCGGCGGGAUAUGGGUCAGGCGGGCACGGGUUCGGCCCGGGGGCGUAUAGCGGCGGCGGUGGGGGGCGGGGGGCAUAUAGCAGCGCCAGCGCGGCGCCGCCGAGUGUGGUGGUGGUUGCGCGGUCGGAAGGUUAUGGGGUCAGGUCGUGGGCGGACCGAGAGCGGGAGGAGCGGGAGAAACGAGCGCCGGGCGGGUGGGGGUACUAAGGUUGGGGUAAAGCAGGAUGUCUUGUGUGCGCCAGCAGCCCAUUCGGCAGCAGUCAUGUCAGUCAUGUGGUUGGUGACUCGGUGUGGGUUGUGAGUGGCCUUCGAACGGGCGUGACUGGAACACGAGUCACGUCCUUGGCAUUGGGUUGUGGCUCUCGGAGGGGCGUGAUUGGAACGCGAGUGGGCACAGGUUGGGUGAUGUUUGGUCAUGCGCUUGACCGAUCCGUGAACGAGAGACGGCCGUGAGCCAGAUAGUCAGAGAGCAAAGGUAGGUUUCGCGAUAUGUUGGACGCAGGUGGCAAGGCAGGUGGUGAGCUACUGGUUUGAUUUUGUGGUGUGAGAGCCGCCUCACCCCGCUUAGCACGUGCUUGAGUGCUGUGCUGUGCUGCAGUAGGGUCAUAGGGUGUGCUACCGGUGUUACUUUUGUGUGACGGUGCUUGGCUGCCGUAGCGGCAUGGACACACAGGGGCCGAAAGGGACAGGUUGGUUGCACAGAGUAGAGUAGAUCAAGCCAAGUGGUCGGGAGUACAGCGCGCAAUGCACGCACUGACGCAUCAAAUGCCCAGAGGCGUAGUGUAUCCAGCUGCAGUGGAGUGUGCAGCAAGGGAGUACGGUAGUGGUGUGUAGGAUGAGCGACGCACCGUUCGCGUCGACCAGGCUCGUGUGGCCUAUAUGGCUGCUUAGCGGGCGAGACACAAUUCAGAAACACUAGCUGACAGCGUGAGAAGACCAUUCGUUUUAAGGCCCCUGUGUGGGCAGAGGGAUGCAGGCGCUCUGGAUUUCGCGACGACCCCGGGCACAGGAUUUCGCCCGGCAAAAUCCCGCUGUCUUCAGUACAAAGGGGGAUUUCUGGCGGGGACAGCGGGAUACCUCGGGUGGGGUCACCCGCGGAAGCGGGAUUCGGCGCUGGGGGGCACCGCAGGCAGCGGGAUUCGGCGCCGGGGGGCACCGCAGGCAGCGGGAUUCGGCGCCGGGGGGCACCCCACACAGCGGGAUUUGACGCCUGGGGGCAUCCUCGGGAGCGGGAUAUUGCAGAUGUCGGCACCCGGGGAAGCUUGAUAGGAAGUGCGUGGUAGCGGGGUUCGUUGUGCGUGCAGGGCGCAGGGCGGUGCGCGUGGCAGCUCGGGCAAGGCAGCCCACGCAUCCCCGUUAACCAUAGACUGCCUCUUGAUGCUUUCAGUACAUGUAUACGCAUAAAGAUAUACCUGUUUCAUCCCCAUCACUCCUACAGCGGCCUUCCAAAUGUUGGGGCUUUCAAGCGAUCCUUUCUUCUGCGUUGGCUUUAGCACAGGAGAAGCCGCGAACAUGCAUAUAGUGUACAUGGUUUGCUGCCUGGGCCGCAAGCGCUGGCUAAGCUACCUCCAGCGCUGUUGGUGCCAGCCAGGAGCCAUUGGCUCCUUAUCCCCACCUAGCACCAAAGCGCUGGCGUGAAGUAGAUUUAGAUAACAAAGCCGCAGCUGUACCCCUUUUAGCAUCGAGGCACACUAAAAUACCGCGACGGAGAUACUGGGCUGAGCCAGUUCCUGAGCGCCUGAACAGUGCCCGGAAACACGCGUGACCCUGCUGCCACAACAAAAGUUUACUGUGGGAAUGCGACUAAGCUUAGGGAGCUGUCACAUCAAGUUCCCCGCCCUCCCUGCUUCAUUCGCUCGCUCGCUGAUCGGGACUAUGCGUGCUCAUGCCCUCCGUGAUACCUGCCCUGAUAUGAUGGAGACUGCCUUGUGUCUGUAGGUGGGGAAGGUGGUAGGACUAGGGGUGUAGGCCAAGGGGAAGGGGUGAUAGGGCGGGUGACGGCGCCUGAGAAUGCUGAGAUGCUCGUGGGCCCGGGUCGAGCAUACAGCGUGGACAGGCAAAGCCAUAGGGCCCAGCCAAGUAGGGCAGCUGGCUCGGGCAGGUGCGGAUUUGGCUGCGCCAGAUGGGGGAUUUGGCUGGGGCAGCUGGGGAUUUCGCGGGGGGAGGUUGGGAUUUGGCCGGGCCAGGUAGGGGAUU
Molecule: long non-coding RNA, 2259 nt
Filed under: Chlamydomonas reinhardtii
Lineage: Eukaryota; Viridiplantae; Chlorophyta; Chlorophyceae; Chlamydomonadales; Chlamydomonadaceae
Description: long non-coding RNA (CREI_LNC001273)
Source: RNAcentral